RNAcentral lists this ribosomal RNA (253 nucleotides) under uncultured bacterium. RNAcentral describes it as "partial 16S ribosomal RNA". It matches the Rfam family "Bacterial small subunit ribosomal RNA", at positions 524 to 776 of the family's 1533-position model. The record is from RNAcentral.
GACGUAGGAGGCGAGCGUUGUCCGGAUUCAUUGGGCGUAAAGAGCACGCAGGCGGUUUGGCAAGUCGGAUGUGAAAACCCGGAGCUCAACUCCGGGCGUGCAUCCGAUACUGCCCGACUAGAGGUAGGUAGGGGAGAUCGGAAUUCCUGGUGUAGCGGUGAAAUGCGCAGAUAUCAGGAGGAACACCGGUGGCGAAGGCGGGUCUCUGGGCCUUACCUGACGCUCAGGUGCGAAAGCUAGGGGAGCGAACAGG